Molecule: ribosomal RNA, 488 nt
Filed under: uncultured bacterium
Lineage: Bacteria
Description: partial 16S ribosomal RNA
Rfam family: Bacterial small subunit ribosomal RNA
Source: RNAcentral
AUUGAACGCUGGCGGCAGGCCUAACACAUGCAAGUCGAGCGGGGUUUUCGGACCUAGCGGCGGACGGGUGAGUAAUGCGUAGGAAGCUACCCGAUAGAGGGGGAUACCAGUUGGAAACGACUGUUAAUACCGCAUAAUGUCUACGGACCAAAGUGUGGGACCUUCGGGCCACAUGCUAUCGGAUGCGCCUACGUGGGAUUAGCUAGUUGGUGAGGUAAUGGCUCACCAAGGCGACGAUCUCUAGCUGGUUUGAGAGGAUGAUCAGCCACACUGAGACUGAGACACGGUCCAGACUCCUACGGGAGGAGGCAGUGGGGCAUAUGGGCACAUGGGCACAAGCCUGAUCCCGCCAUGCCGCGUGUGUGAAGGAGUCCUUCGGGUUGUAAAGCCCUUUGAGGGAGGAGAAAGGGUUGUGUGUUAAUAGUACACAGCUUUGACGUUACUCGCAGAAGAAGCACCGGCUAACUCUGUGCCAGCCGCCGCAGUAA